AGACCCGUAGCUCAGUUGGUUAGAGCGCUCAACUUAUAAUUGAGAGGUGGUUGGUUCGAGUCCAACGGGGUCUA
This 74-nucleotide transfer RNA is filed under the name Furfurilactobacillus rossiae. Its description in RNAcentral is "Lactobacillus rossiae tRNA-Ile". It matches the Rfam family "tRNA". Rfam says of the family: Transfer RNA (tRNA) molecules are approximately 80 nucleotides in length. Their secondary structure includes four short double-helical elements and three loops (D, anti-codon, and T loops). The record is from RNAcentral. Lineage: Bacteria; Bacillati; Bacillota; Bacilli; Lactobacillales; Lactobacillaceae. RNAcentral also lists the same sequence under 1 other name.